RNAcentral lists this transfer RNA (57 nucleotides) under Heterocephalus glaber (naked mole-rat). It matches the Rfam family "tRNA", at positions 8 to 63 of the family's 71-position model. From Rfam's summary of the family: Transfer RNA (tRNA) molecules are approximately 80 nucleotides in length. Their secondary structure includes four short double-helical elements and three loops (D, anti-codon, and T loops). RNAcentral also lists the same sequence under 1 other name. Lineage: Eukaryota; Metazoa; Chordata; Mammalia; Rodentia; Bathyergidae. The record is from Rfam by way of RNAcentral.
UAGCUCAGUGGGAGAGCACUUGCCUAGCAUGCAUGAGGCCCUGAGUUCAAUCCUCAG